This 102-nucleotide ribosomal RNA is filed under the name uncultured Symbiodinium. RNAcentral describes it as "partial Eukaryotic large subunit ribosomal RNA". Lineage: Eukaryota; Dinophyceae; Suessiales; Symbiodiniaceae. The record is from RNAcentral.
AGUAAGCUUCUCUGUUUAGUACCCAGAACUGGCGCUCAGUGACGAACCAGAUGUCGGGCUAAGAGGCUUGACUCCGCGACCGCAUAAGAUACCACUAAAGAG